AGCCCUGAGGUGUUGAACAUAUUAGAUUGCAAAUCUAAAGUCGCAGGCUAAUACCUGCUGGGGCUU
RNAcentral lists this transfer RNA (66 nucleotides) under Cichla temensis (speckled pavon). RNAcentral's name for it is "tRNA-Cys". It matches the Rfam family "tRNA". Rfam says of the family: Transfer RNA (tRNA) molecules are approximately 80 nucleotides in length. Their secondary structure includes four short double-helical elements and three loops (D, anti-codon, and T loops). RNAcentral also lists the same sequence under 1 other name. The record is from RNAcentral. Lineage: Eukaryota; Metazoa; Chordata; Actinopteri; Cichliformes; Cichlidae.